RNAcentral lists this ribosomal RNA (1336 nucleotides) under Salmonella enterica subsp. enterica serovar Enteritidis. Its description in RNAcentral is "partial 23S ribosomal RNA". It matches the Rfam family "Bacterial large subunit ribosomal RNA", at positions 1 to 1230 of the family's 2925-position model. The record is from RNAcentral. Lineage: Bacteria; Pseudomonadati; Pseudomonadota; Gammaproteobacteria; Enterobacterales; Enterobacteriaceae.
GGGUUGUGAGGUUAAGCGACUAAGCGUACACGGUGGAUGCCCUGGCAGUCAGAGGCGAUGAAGGGCGUGCUAAUCUGCGAUAAGCGCCGGUAAGGUGAUAUGAACCGUUAUAACCGGCGAUACCCGAAUGGGGAAACCCAGUGUGACUCGUCACACUAUCAUUAACUGAAUCCAUAGGUUAAUGAGGCGAACCGGGGGAACUGAAACAUCUAAGUACCCCGAGGAAAAGAAAUCAACCGAGAUUCCCCCAGUAGCGGCGAGCGAACGGGGAGGAGCCCAGAGCCUGAAUCAGCAUGUGUGUUAGUGGAAGCGUCUGGAAAGGCGCGCGAUACAGGGUGACAGCCCCGUACACAAAAGCGCAUGUGCUGUGAGCUCGAUGAGUAGGGCGGGACACGUGGUAUCCUGUCUGAAUAUGGGGGGACCAUCCUCCAAGGCUAAAUACUCCUGACUGACCGAUAGUGAACCAGUACCGUGAGGGAAAGGCGAAAAGAACCCCGGCGAGGGGAGUGAAAAAGAACCUGAAACCGUGUACGUACAAGCAGUGGGAGCCCCACCACCAAAGCAUUUGCUGUACCGCGUUGACGGAGCGAAGCGACGUCAAACCGAUAAAACAGCAGUGUAAAGUGAGCCGCAGGGCGCUUUGCGCGACAGCGCAAAGGCAGGCGGUUUCGCGUAGCGAAAGCGAAUGCUUUGGGGUGGGGUGACUGCGUACCUUUUGUAUAAUGGGUCAGCGACUUAUAUUCUGUAGCAAGGUUAACCGAAUAGGGGAGCCGGAGGGAAACCGAGUCUUAACCGGGCGUUAAGUUGCAGGGUAUAGACCCGAAACCCGGUGAUCUAGCCAUGGGCAGGUUGAAGGUUGGGUAACACUAACUGGAGGACCGAACCGACUAAUGUUGAAAAAUUAGCGGAUGACCUGUGGCUGGGGGUGAAAGGCCAAUCAAACCGGGAGAUAGCUGGUUCUCCCCGAAAGCUAUUUAGGUAGCGCCUCGUGAAUUCAUCUCCGGGGGUAGAGCACUGUUUCGGCUAGGGGGCCAUCCCGGCUUACCAACCCGAUGCAAACUGCGAAUACCGGAGAAUGUUAUCACGGGAGACACACGGCGGGUGCUAACGUCCGUCGUGAAGAGGGAAACAACCCAGACCGCCAGCUAAGGUCCCAAAGUCAUGGUUAAGUGGGAAACGAUGUGGGAAGGCCCAGACAGCCAGGAUGUUGGCUUAGAAGCAGCCAUCAUUUAAAGAAAGCGUAAUAGCUCACUGGUCGAGUCGGCCUGCGCGGAAGAUGUAACGGGGCUAAACCAUGCACCGAAGCUGCGGCAGCGACACUGUGUGUUGUUGGGUA